CCCGGCCCUCCCGGCGGCGCGGGCGGCUCACCAGAGCCGGGGCCUCGAAAUAUGGCUGCGGCGGGAGGCGCCGUCGCGGCGCCCGGCCCGGACGGCCCCGCUCCCCGCCCCGCCGCGCCCUGAGCGCCCCCUCCUCCGCUUCCCCCGGGUCCCCCUCUCCAGGCAGGAAGAUGUCCAAGCCCCGCGCGGUGGAGGCGGCGGCGGCGGCGGCGGCGGUGGCAGCGACGGCCCCGGGCCCGGAGAUGGUGGAGCGGAGGGGCCCGGGGAGGCCCCGCACCGACGGGGAGAACGUAUUUACCGGGCAGUCAAAGAUCUAUUCCUACAUGAGCCCGAACAAAUGCUCUGGAAUGCGUUUCCCCCUUCAGGAAGAGAACUCAGUUGCACAUCACGAAGUCAAAUGCCAGGGGAAACCAUUAGCCGGAAUCUACAGGAAACGAGAAGAGAAAAGAAAUGCUGGGAACGCAGUACGGAGUGCCGUGAAGUCCGAGGAACAGAAGAUCAAAGACGCCAGGAGAGGUCCCCUGGCACCUUUUCCAAACCAAAAAUCUGAAGCAGCAGAACCUCCAAAAACUCCACCCUCAUCUUGUGAUUCCACCAAUGCAGCCAUCGCCAAGCAAGCCCUGAAAAAGCCCAUCAAGGGCAAACAGGCCCCCCGAAAAAAAGCUCAAGGAAAAACGCAACAGAAUCGCAAACUUACGGAUUUCUACCCUGUCCGAAGGAGCUCCAGGAAGAGCAAAGCCGAGUUGCAGUCUGAAGAAAGGAAAAGAAUAGAUGAAUUGAUUGAAAGUGGGAAGGAAGAAGGAAUGAAGAUUGACCUCAUCGAUGGCAAAGGCAGGGGUGUGAUUGCCACCAAGCAGUUCUCCCGGGGUGACUUUGUGGUGGAAUACCACGGGGACCUCAUCGAGAUCACCGACGCCAAGAAACGGGAGGCUCUGUACGCACAGGACCCUUCCACGGGCUGCUACAUGUACUAUUUUCAGUAUCUGAGCAAAACCUACUG
RNAcentral lists this small RNA (1000 nucleotides) under Pongo abelii (Sumatran orangutan). Its description in RNAcentral is "retained intron". The record is from RNAcentral. Lineage: Eukaryota; Metazoa; Chordata; Mammalia; Primates; Hominidae.